UACGUAGGGGGCAAGCGUUGUCCGGAUUUAUUGGGCGUAAAGAGCGUGUAGGCGGUUUGGUAGGUCCGCUGUGAAAACUCGAGGCUCAACCUCGAGACGCCGGUGGAAACCAUCAGGCUAGAGUCCGGAAGAGGAGAGUGGAAUUCCCGGUGUAGCGGUGAAAUGCGCAGAUAUCGGGAAGAACACCCGUGGCGAAGGCGGUUCUCUGGGACGGUACUGACGCUGAGACGCGAAAGCGUGGGGAGCGAACAGG
RNAcentral lists this ribosomal RNA (253 nucleotides) under uncultured bacterium. RNAcentral's name for it is "partial 16S ribosomal RNA". It matches the Rfam family "Bacterial small subunit ribosomal RNA", at positions 524 to 776 of the family's 1533-position model. The record is from RNAcentral.